AAUUAAUUCAACAUCGAGGUCACAAACUUAAUUAUUAAUAAGAACUCGCUAAUUAAAUAAUGCUGUUAUCCCUAGAGUAACUUCAUAAAAAUUCCCUUUAAAAUUCCAAAAAUUUUUAUCUUCAAAUGUUGCCCCAACAAAAAACUAAAAAUUUCAAGCUUCUAGGGUCUUCUCGUCCCAAAAUUUAAUAAAAGCAUUUUUACUUUUAAUUUAACUUCAAAAUUAUUAAAUAAAACUUUCUUUUUAGUUUAAACCCUUCAUUCCAGUUCCCAAUUAAAGAA
RNAcentral lists this ribosomal RNA (281 nucleotides) under Deltaspidium orguense. RNAcentral's name for it is "partial large subunit ribosomal RNA". Lineage: Eukaryota; Metazoa; Arthropoda; Arachnida; Opiliones; Gonyleptidae. The record is from RNAcentral.